RNAcentral lists this ribosomal RNA (253 nucleotides) under uncultured bacterium. RNAcentral's name for it is "partial 16S ribosomal RNA". It matches the Rfam family "Bacterial small subunit ribosomal RNA", at positions 524 to 776 of the family's 1533-position model. The record is from RNAcentral.
UACGGAGGGUGCAAGCGUUAUCCGGAUUCACUGGGUUUAAAGGGUGCGUAGGCGGACUGGUAAGUCAGUGGUGAAAUCCCCGAGCUUAACUUGGGAACUGCCGUUGAUACUAUCAGUCUUGAAUACCGUGGAGGUGAGCGGAAUAUGUCAUGUAGCGGUGAAAUGCUUAGAUAUGACAUAGAACACCAAUUGCGAAGGCAGCUCGCUACACGAAUAUUGACGCUGAGGCACGAAAGCGUGGGGAUCAAACAGG